This 166-nucleotide ribosomal RNA is filed under the name uncultured bacterium. RNAcentral's name for it is "partial 16S ribosomal RNA". It matches the Rfam family "Bacterial small subunit ribosomal RNA", at positions 108 to 273 of the family's 1533-position model. The record is from RNAcentral.
GCGUAACGCGUAUGCAACCUACCCCAGAUCGGGGAACAACCCUUCGAAAGAGGGGCUAAUACCGCGCUAAGAUGGUAGACCGGCAUCGGUUAGCCAUUAAACUUUCGGGGAUCUGGGAUGGGCAUGCGUCUGAUUAGCUAGUUGGCGGGGUAAAAGCCCACCAAGG